This is a long non-coding RNA of Theobroma umbraticum, 834 nucleotides long. RefSeq lists it as uncharacterized. The record is from RefSeq and is a predicted model, not a curated record. Lineage: Eukaryota; Viridiplantae; Streptophyta; Magnoliopsida; Malvales; Malvaceae.
AGCAAUAUUCCCAAACAUAAAUAUAAAGUGAUAUCAUCUUUCCUAACCCAAAACGACUAACAAACACAAAGUAAAAACUCGUCUUGACAGAGUGUUUUGGCAGGUCUCCUGCAACCUUCCUCUAAAGGUACCUUGAUAUAGGGGCUUGUCACACGUUAGUUUUCAUGUCAUGAUCAUGGAAGAAGACCAAGAUGAGGUGAUGCAUUCGUUGUAAUGCCAAUGCAUUUCAAAGAUCGGAUCAGUGAUUUACCAGAAAAGUGUACUCCAGGUGAAAUAGCAGGGGACCUGUAGCCAGCUGUAAGACUCAUGGCUUGUAUGGAAGUGAGCAGCCACGGGUGAAAACAGCUAAGGAGUCCUGGCCAGUGGAGAAAACCACAAGGAGUCAUGGCUACUGGAGAAAAUUGUGAUGGUAGAGAAAACAAUCGUGGCUUCCAGGUCAUUGCUCAAAAACAGCCAUCUGGUUCUUACAGGAUUCUUGAGGAUGAGGAAGAAGAAGAUCAAUGCUGUUAAUUACCAUGUGCAAUAUCAUAGUAAAUCCCAAUGAAUACUAUGCAAAGGACUGUCUGGAUUUUUUUUUCUCCAUUCAAACAAAAGAUACCACAAGGAAAUUACAUCUUCCGAGAAGUAUACGCAUGAAGACUCAACUGCCAGACAAAAGAAGAUUGAGCAGAACUUGCAUAUUGAUCCUCGAACCCAAACCGAAAAAAGCAUGAAGCUAGGUUAUGCUGUUUAUCAGUUUGUAAAAGAGUAAUUUCGCAAUUUUUUUUUAGCAAUGCCAAUAGAUGUAAUGAGUUGUGAAAUUCACCUCAAUUUAUCUUAUUAGAGACCUCAGAA